CCUACGGGAGGCAGCAGUGGGGAAUAUUGGACAAUGGGCGAAAGCCUGAUCCAGCAAUGCCGCGUGAGUGAUGAAGGCCUUAGGGUUGUAAAGCUCUUUUACCAGGGAUGAUAAUGACAGUACCUGGAGAAUAAGCUCCGGCUAACUCCGUGCCAGCAGCCGCGGUAAUACGGAGGGAGCUAGCGUUGUUCGGAAUUACUGGGCGUAAAGCGUACGUAGGCGGUUAUUCAAGUCAGAGGUGAAAGCCUGGAGCUCAACUCCAGAACUGCCUUUGAAACUAGAUAGCUAGAAUCUUGGAGAGGUGAGUGGAAUUCCGAGUGUAGAGGUGAAAUUCGUAGAUAUUCGGAAGAACACCAGUGGCGAAGGCGACUCACUGGACAAGUAUUGACGCUGAGGUACGAAAGCGUGGGGAGCAAACAGGAUUAGAUACCCUGGUAGUCCAUGCCGUAAACGAUGAUAACUAGCUGUUCGGGCUCUACGAGCUUGAGUGGCGCAGCUAACGCAUUAAGUUAUCCGCCUGGGGAGUACGGUCGCAAGAUUAAAACUUAAAGGAAAUUGACGG
Molecule: ribosomal RNA, 562 nt
Filed under: uncultured bacterium
Lineage: Bacteria
Description: bacterial SSU rRNA
Rfam family: Bacterial small subunit ribosomal RNA
Source: RNAcentral